RNAcentral lists this microRNA precursor (145 nucleotides) under Gossypium hirsutum (cotton). RNAcentral's name for it is "MIR7502 microRNA precursor family". It matches the Rfam family "MIR7502 microRNA precursor family". Lineage: Eukaryota; Viridiplantae; Streptophyta; Magnoliopsida; Malvales; Malvaceae. The record is from Rfam by way of RNAcentral. RNAcentral also lists the same sequence under 1 other name.
UAUCAAAAUUUUCAUCCAUUCUUAUCAUUAAAAAUUGGUUUGGCUAACAAAAUAACCAGAAAGUUAUACAUGACAUGCCACAUGUACUUAAUUUUGAUGUACACAGAUCAUUUUUUAACAAUAAAAAUAAAUGAAAUUUUUAAUA